UAACACUUACAGGAACAGCUUACAGAA
RNAcentral lists this small RNA (27 nucleotides) under Bombyx mori (domestic silkworm). RNAcentral's name for it is "ovarian small RNA-18586". Lineage: Eukaryota; Metazoa; Arthropoda; Insecta; Lepidoptera; Bombycidae. The record is from RNAcentral.